Equus caballus (horse) is the source of this 1905-nucleotide non-coding RNA. The record is from the annotation of a RefSeq genome assembly. Lineage: Eukaryota; Metazoa; Chordata; Mammalia; Perissodactyla; Equidae.
UCCCCUGACUCAGGACCGCUCCCUGCACCAGGGAACAUGGAGCUGCAUCCAUGGCUCUCCUGCCCCCUCCAUCGGCUCAGGCUGUCCCUCCCUCUGCUCUGGGCUCUCAGGGCUCCUGGCUCCUCCUCUUCUGCAGAGGGCCUGCUCUCAGCCUGCCCCAGGAGGCUGUCAGGAAAUGGGCUGAGCAGAGAGGCAGGGCUCCUCCCCAGGCCUCCCCCAGCCCCACCCACUCUGGGUCAUCAGCUGGGUGGUCUUCUAGGAGAGCCCCUCACUGCCUGCUGCCUGUGACAGCUGUGCAGAGCCCGGCUCUGACUUCAUCCUUGUGUCCUGGGGUUCCCGUCUUUGGAGCAGGACUGGAGUGUGAGAGGGUGUCUGCCGGUCCUGUCGUCUGUCCCUUUCCUUCUAAGGCCCGAGGAGGAAGCCAUGCUGCAGGCUCUCACCCUCCUUCUAGCUUUCCUGGCUCCUGCCACUCAAGUAUCUUCCAACUUGGAAGGGACACAGAUGUCAGUCACCAAACAGGCUGGGUCCUCUGUUGUAAUCACCUGUGAUUUUAAACAAAGCAUCACCUAUGUCCACUGGUACCGAUACGUGGAGGGGAUGGCCCCACAACGACUUUUGUACUACCAUUACCACAGCGCCAAAUUUGUGAUGGAACCAGGAAUCAGUUCACAGAAAUAUCGUACCUAUGAAGGCACAGGGAAGAACCGUAAAAUUGAAAUCCGAAAUCUGGAAGAAAGGGAUUCUGGUGUGUAUUACUGUGCUGUCUGGGAGAACUGGAUCAAGAAAUUUGGAAAAGGGACUAAGCUCGUAGUAACUCCCUCUGAUAAACGCCUUCCUGCAGACAUUUCCCCCAAGCCCAUUAUGUUUCUUCCUUCAAUUGCUGAAAUCAACCUCCAUAAGACUGGGACAUAUCUUUGUCUUCUUGAGAAAUUCUUCCCUGAUGUUAUCAAUGUAUAUUGGAAAGAAAAGGAUGGCCAUACAAUUCUGCAAUCCCAGCAAGGAAAUACCAUGAAGACUAAUGACACAUACAUGAAACUCAGCUGGCUGACCGUGACUGAAAAGUCAAUGGAUAAAGAACACAAAUGCAUUGUCCAACACGAGAAAAAUAAAGGAGGGGUUGACCAAGAGAUUGCUUUUCCUUCAGUGAUCAAAGUUCUCGUCUCAAUUGUCACUACUAUUGAUUCUUCCAAGCCUUCUCUGAAAGAGAAAAGAAUUGUCACUGCUUCUAAUUCUACAACAGCUUCUCCAGCAGAGGAAAGCAAGGUCAUGGCUAUUAAUUUGACAGAAGCUUGUCUGAAAGAUGAGAGCAAUGCCCUGCAGCUGCAGCUCAGCAGCACUUUGGCCUGUUACGCCUACCUCCUCCUCCUCAUCAUGAGCGUGGGCUACUCUGCCAGCAUCGCCUUCUGCCUGUUUAGGAGAACAGCAGUCUGUGGCAAUGGAAAGAGUUCAUAACGGAUGGUGGCACAAAGAAGACAACUUUUCUCCAUUGUUUAUUCUCCUUAAAAGUGUAUCCUGAAGAUCUAGCUGGGUUUUCUCUCUGAGUUUGGGUUAUUUCAGUUCACAUGUGUAUUUUUCUAUUAUGUCGAUAUUACAAAAUGGUUUUCUAAGCCACUGGGCAAACAGAAAAUCUUACUCUGUAAUAACAGUGAGUUCUGCCAUUACUCAGGGCCAGAGCCAAGGGAUAGUCCUUUAGCAACACUCUUUCCAUGAUCUCCAUCAGCUGCUCCAGGCAACCCGAAUACCCAUGCCUUCUGAGUACAGACAGCAUGCAGCUCUAGUCACGUCGCUAGGGCCAUUUAACCAGGACUGACUUGAAGCCUUCCAUUUCACACACCAUGAAGCCAUCAUCUUUGCUGCUUAAAUUCUGUAUUUUGCUUUUCAUAAUAGGCACAAUAAAAAAACCAA